RNAcentral lists this long non-coding RNA (4980 nucleotides) under Bemisia tabaci. RNAcentral's name for it is "lncRNA ENSSSA3NGG012283". Lineage: Eukaryota; Metazoa; Arthropoda; Insecta; Hemiptera; Aleyrodidae. The record is from RNAcentral.
AUGAUGAUAGCUGGCGAAAUAGCGACAAAUUACAGAGAUUCGGCACAACAACUAGCAAAUAUUCGGAAUGAAGCAAAUCACGCCAAGUUUGCUCAGGAGGCAUUUCACCAUCAAGUAGCUAAUUUAAAACAAGUUGUGGACACCCAAGGAAGUACAAUUGAGGCCUCAAAAUCAAGAAUCACCGAGUUAGAAAAUAUCCUCUCCAAAAAAGAUACCAUUAUUCAGGAACAAAAAGAACUGAUAGAGAGGAUUAAGGAGCAGUAUCAUAGUCAAUUACAAGCUGUUGAGGAUAAAUACAACGCCCUAAAGGCUAUUAACCUGAAGCAACAAGAGCACACGCUGGAGGUUCACAACCGACUGGACAUGGCAGAGGAACUAAACAAACAGCGUAACAAGAAACUUUCUCUCGAUGAAGAUCUUAUUCCACGUUGAUUUCACCCAAAUCCUCCUUCCGACAGUUCCAUUCUGAUGGUCCUCUACCGAACCUCAGUCAGCUCGUUGAACCAGACGAAGAUCCAGCCAGAGGCCUACUCCGCUCGACUCUCAGCCCCUCGUCAAUGCAUCAUUUCUCGUAGUCAUUGGUAAUUCCUACGCACUACACAGAUGUCAGUUGAAGCCUCUGUUGAAUAAAGUAGGUAAGUGGCAGUUUUGAAUAAAAAUGAGAUAAAUUGUGGUUUUAAACCAAAGGUGUUAACAGUGAACAUUACAAAAGCGAAAGAAAUAUUGGCCUUGAAAACUCGAUUCUAGUCCCACAACACCAGUUCAAACUUUUGAGAAGGUGUAAGACUCAUAAUAUUUAAAUGUUGAUCUUUUUUUUCUCAAAAUCGUAGAACGAUACUUACCUCUAAAAACAAGUUGGUUGAUCGAAUGAUCAGACCAAAGAUGAUGUCAUUUUUCUCACUCUAGAGCGAAACGAAGACAAAUGAAAAAAGAGAGAAAAAUGACGUCACUUUGGGCUGAUCAUUCAAUGAACCAACUUUUGUCCAUUUGACUGGUUCGUCUAACCACUUUUAUUCUCUCUCUGACUGUAGUGAAUUUUCCCUCUAAACUUCUACCCAUCUUCAACAGUAUUUAUCAGUAUUCCCAGUCAAUUAGUCUGCCUCCUUAAAGUAAUAUUUUCCUCUGUUUCAGAUAUAUUCCAUUGUGGCUGUGGUAUCCCGUUUAUAAUUUGUUACCUAUUCUAAUUUAUUUAUUUUAUGUUCUAAUUUUAUUUUGUAUAGUUUUAUUAAGUGUAAUUCUGCUUCCUGCGUAGCUCAACUUCCUCCAUCUAAUCUUCAUUACUGAGUGACCUGCCUCAGACGAAGAGCAAGUUCUUUCUCUGUCAACUUAGACUCUCCGUAUCAACCAUGAAGGGACGUAAACUUAGUCAUGUGACUUAGUAUCCAUAGUCGUUCCUUAAACAGCUCCUCUCUUCAUUAUUGGCUGAUUAUUGAAAUUAUAGGCAAAGCGAUGGACAAAGAAGACAUAAAGAAUAAAGCGCGAUCCUAUUGGUUGAAACGGGUGGCUCUUAUAGACUAAGGGAGAAAAUGAUUGACUAACUGUCGGGUCUCACGUGGGUUGCCAUUAGUUAGCCUAUUACUUAUCUCCUUUGUCCCUUGCAACCACUUCGCUUCCACCAAUAGAAUCCCUCCUUAUCCCUUUUGUUUUCUUUGUCUAAAGCUUUGUCUAUCAAUUUCAACAAUCGACCCGCUGUAUGGUUUGGAUUCUUUAAAGUGACUGCAAUGAUUUGCCACUGCAAAAAAGUACAAAAUGCGGAAGAAAAAUUAUCUGAAUUUGAGAAAUAUUAAGGUAGAUGGGAACCUACCUUAAAAUAUAUAAAUCUCUCAGUACAUUUUCUCUCGUAUCAUUAUAAUUUUUGUAUAGUGAAUCAUUGUAGUUCCUCGCAAGGACUAAUUUUCAAAGUUCUACUGCUGAAUUUUACCUGAGGUUCCCAAAAAUUGUCUUUUUAACCGAAGCUAUGCUGAGGAUCUCCUAGAUUCUCCCUUAAUCACAGUGUAAACUAUAUGGGGACACAUUUCCGCCAAACGGAACUAUGUGUAUUAAGACGUGAGCCCUGAGACCCAAUAUAUGCAUGACAGGGCUCAUGUCUUAAUGCACAUAGUUCCGUUCGACAGGAAUACGUCCAUGGAGCCUCCUAUUGGAAGGAGCUGCUCAAGGCACAACUAUGCGACCCUUAAAAUCAAUCUCCAACCUACGUAACUUUUUUUCUGCUGCAAGUAGGAUUACAGGUUCCUCGCUUCUAAGAUCAACAACCGUUUUCCCAUUUCGUAUAAUGUAACGAACCAUUAGAGACAAGGUAAAAACAAAGCAUUGAAAUACAUAUUCUCUCAUGAAAAUUUCAAUAAUUUAUACUUUUUAUUUUCAAUUUCAUCUCAUAAGUGAGAUACUUCAAGUCUGUUGAAAGUGCCCUUGAAUCAAAUUAAGCACUGAACUCAUUUCCGUGUCCCUUACACUAAAUGAUUCUCCCAGUGUAUUCAAUGGUUCUUGAAAACCUAAGGUGUGCUGUACCCAUAGAAAGUAGAGAUUGUUGUGGAAUCUAAACCUUGUCAUUUUUCAAUAUUAUAAACACGUUUUGAAUUGCUGAUUUUGAAUUUUCUGUGAGCAAAAAGUUCGAAUUGUCUAAUUUCAAUGAGAAAAAUAAACUCUAAUAUUUUACUUUCAAGUUGAUCAUAGAAAUAGUCAGAAUACUCAGUGUGUUUGGAAUGAAAUUUUGAUGAGGGGACAUGUUGUGCAAUGCCUUAAUUCUUGUUCUGUACAGUGUUAUGUUCUCAAUUGGAUGUAUUUCUACGAAACGGAACUAAAUGCAUUAAGACAUAAGCCCUGAGACCCAUAAGAACAUAUGCGUAACAGGGCUCAUGUCAUAAUGCUCAUAGUUCCGUUUGGCAGAAAUAUGUCCAAUUGAGUAUCUCUCAGUAAAAGGCUAUUUCUGAAAAGCAAAUAAAUCCUGAGUCCCGAAGUCCGUCAGUCAGAAUCUUUGAUCUUGAGAGUCUAUGAACAAAGUCUACAGCUUUCCUCUGUAUCAAUUGAACUUUCAUCUAAUGUUUACUUCAAAGCAGUCUUCUGAGCUUCGCUGUCUCUGAGUGAUCUGUUAGAGAUAUAAGUUUGUGUUGUGAGUUUAAUGCUUCUCUAUAGUUGCAUCCUUUUACCUUGAAGCAUGAUUUUUAUGAUUUUAUCCUAGGUCAAAUUUUACCAAUGAUAGAAGUCCUCGAAAAGUUAAACCGCUGUUUCUACAAUAUCAGUAGACCCUGUUUUUAUUGUAAUUUCUGUGUUGGACCUGUACAUUUUUUUUUGUUAUUUUAUGUGUCUAGCCCCUGCGCUCAAACCAAACGUUUAUUGUUAACGGCUUAAUUUUUCAAGUCUCAUCAUUUUCUCUCAAGUUUUUUAUAUGUGUAUCCAUAAAAAUCUGGAAAUAACAGGUACGAUAAUAAAACGCAAUCAGUUUGAAGAGUCAGUCCGGUCUAUUUUGUCUCAUUAAUUUUCUUAAUUCUUAUAAUUUCCUCCCAUCAGACAAAGCUCACCUAUUAAACUAUGAUCAACGAUGAGUCCAUUACGUACGUAACAAAAUCUUUUUAGACUAUCGCAACUUGUAGAUUAACCAUCAUAGCCACCAAUUAUUUGAAAGGCUCAAAAAUCUGGGGGAUAGUUGAAACUCAUAAAAUUGUAUUUUCAAGCAAAUAAAAAGGGUUCCUUCAUUUUCAUGAUAGGCUGUCGUUAUGUAAGACAGGCGUAACAGCUAUCUUCUGCUACUUAAAUGGCACGUUUUGGAAACACAAUAAACAAAUUUUAAAGCUAGAAAUUGGCAGAAAAGAGCGCCAUUUUACUUAACAGUACAGCCUUCAUUGGCUCUGGCAAAAUAAUACCCUUGCGGCUGUUCUGUCAGAAGCAACGCCAAUUUUUGCUCACUUACAACUUCCUUGUAGGUUUCGUUUUUUUACAACCAAGGCGAAUUUAGCUAUUUUAGCGGGAUCAAAGAUUUCACCUAAAUUGGAGUAGGCAAAUUUUGAAAGAAAUUUAAUCUCGAAAAUUUGAGGUCUAUACAAUCGCUCUCCCCUAUUGUGGCAGCAUUGUUUUUCCCAUCAUAAUUUGAUGUCAAUCACCCUUCAAUAAUUCUGUUAAUAAUGGAAUUAGUAGUGUAAACUUGAUAAAAUAUUGGGAUAACUUGAAAGAAAAACGUUUGCAGACAAACUUCAAAGUAAAAAAACAAGUUUUCAUCGAUGGCUUUAAUUUUAUUGUUUUCAUUGGUUAAUUGGAAGUUUUUACAAAAUUUUUGUUUAAAAAAUUAUCGAUAUUUUCAGAUAAUACACUGAUCCCAGAUGAGAGAAGGGACUUCCAUUUAUAAUAGCAUAAUUCUUGAGGCCAUCUUGACAAUCAGAUGUCACAAUUAUAAGAACAUAUGAAUUCAAAGUGUUGAUCAAAGAUUGAUUAGAAGUUGGAGGAUAUUUUAUUUUUACCUGUACCUAAAAAUAUGUUAUUAUUUCAUAUGAGCCUUGAAAGUUUUCAGUUCGAAACUUUCUUGAAGUAUUCAAGAGAAAAUUCUACUGAAAUGAAACAAAAUUGAUGAAAAAUAACAGUAGGGUCUUUUAAAGUAAAAAACCCUUUGGAAAGAGUGGAAAAUUAUUUCUCUCUUUAUUUUGGAAUUGGAGUAUUCUAUUUCAACUCUUCGAUGUACUUAGUAUUUUUAUAGCCUUCAGCAUUUUUUAUAUUUUCGCUUCAUUAGCAAUUUACUCAAGAUUAGCUGGCUUUCAUCUCUGUAAUAUUGGUUUUUCCCACGGCAAGUCAUCCUGCCCUUUGGGUGGGUGUUGCAAUAGAGCCGAUUUGAAAAAAUCUUAACUUAAUACGCAUCUGUGACUAACUUCUAAUUAGAGACAAAUAUACAUUUUAUAUAAUGAUAACUGUUACAUAUUUACAAGAACUGAGACCAGAAAAACAGAUUACAGUUCCUAUGAAUGAGAUUAAUUGAUGGAAUUAAUGAUCCGUAAG